UGACAUUGUUCAUGUAUGAAGUUAUGCCA
This 29-nucleotide non-coding RNA is filed under the name Homo sapiens (human). The record is from RNAcentral. Lineage: Eukaryota; Metazoa; Chordata; Mammalia; Primates; Hominidae.